GCCGAUGUGGUGCAGUGGUAGUACGUCUGUCUGCCAAGCAGAAGGUUCCGGGUUCGACUCCCGGUGGGCA
Non-coding RNA from Phthorimaea operculella (potato tuberworm), 70 nucleotides. NCBI's taxonomy places the organism in Eukaryota, Metazoa, Arthropoda, Insecta, Lepidoptera, Gelechiidae. The record is from the annotation of a GenBank genome assembly.